UAGUCUUUUAAUUGAGGACUGGAAUGAAAGAGUAAACCAAAAGAAUUUUUUUAAAGUUAAGAAAAUGAAUUUUACUUUUUAGUAAGAAGGCUAAAAUGAAUCUUUCAGACAAGAAGACCCUAUAAAACUUUAUAUUUUUCAGUUAGUAAAGAUAAUUGAGAGAUAUUUCGCUGGGGCGGCGAGAGAAAACUCUUCUCUUAUAGGAAAAAACAAUUCUUGUUUAAAUACCUAGAAGUUCUAAAAAAGAAAUAAGUUACUUUAGGGAUAACAGCUUAAUUUACUUUUAAAGCUCUAAUUGACAAGUAAGUUUAUGACCUCGAUGUUGAAUUAAAAUACCUUUUUUGUGCAAAAGCUUUAAUAAGGGGGUCUGUNCGCACCUUUAANUGNUC
This 389-nucleotide ribosomal RNA is filed under the name Leiurus quinquestriatus (Egyptian scorpion). RNAcentral describes it as "partial 16S ribosomal RNA". The stretch from base 77 to 389 matches the Rfam family "Bacterial large subunit ribosomal RNA", at positions 2048 to 2598 of the family's 2925-position model. Lineage: Eukaryota; Metazoa; Arthropoda; Arachnida; Scorpiones; Buthidae. The record is from RNAcentral.